GGGCCUGGGCGCCGCGUUAUACAGGCGCACGGGUGCGUAACGCGUGGGAAUCUGCCCUUGGGUUCGGAAUAACUCGCCGAAAGGCGUGCUAAUACCGGAUGAUGACGUAAGUCCAAAGAUUUAUCGCCCAAGGAUGAGCCCGCGUAGGAUUAGCUAGUUGGUGAGGUAAGAGCUCACCAAGGCGACGAUCCUUAGCUGGUCUGAGAGGAUGAUCAGCCACACUGGGACUGAGACACGGCCCAGACUCCUACGGGAGGCAGCAGUGGGGAAUAUUGGACAAUGGGCGAAAGCCUGAUCCAGCAAUGCCGCGUGAGUGAUGAAGGCCUUAGGGUUGUAAAGCUCUUUUACCCGGGAUGAUAAUGACAGUACCGGGAGAAUAAGCUCCGGCUAACUCCGUGCCAGCAGCCGCGGUAAU
RNAcentral lists this ribosomal RNA (415 nucleotides) under uncultured bacterium. RNAcentral describes it as "bacterial SSU rRNA". It matches the Rfam family "Bacterial small subunit ribosomal RNA", at positions 74 to 524 of the family's 1533-position model. The record is from RNAcentral.